AUUGGAAUGAGUACAAUUUGAAUCCCUUAACGAUUAACAAUUGGAGGGCAAGUCUGGUGCCAGCAGCCGCGGUAAUUCCAGCUCCAAUAGCGUAUAUUAAAGUUGUUGCAGUUAAAAAGCUCGUAGUUGAAUUUCAGCCCUGGCUGGGCGGUCCACCUUUGGAUGGUACUGCUCUGGCUGGGGUUCACCUUCUGGUGAGCCGUCAUGCCCUUUACUGGGUGUGGCGGGGAACCAGGACUUUUACUUUGAAAAAAUUAGAGUGUUUAAAGCAGGCCUAUGCUUGAAUACAUUAGCAUGGAAUAAUAGAAUAGGACCUCGGUUCUAUUUUGUUGGUUUCUAGGACCGAAGUAAUGAUUAAUAGGGAUAGUUGGGGGCAUUAGUAUUUAGUAGCUAGAGGUGAAAUUCUUGGAUUUAUGAAAGACUAACUUCUGCGAAAGCAUUUGCCAAGGAUGUUUUCAUUAAUCAAGAACGAAAGUUAGGGGAUCGAAGACGAUCAGAUACCGUCGUAGUCUUAACCAUAAACUAUGCCGACUAGGGAUCAGACGAUGUUAAUUUACUGACUCGUUUGGCACCUAUGAGAAAUCAAAGUUUUUGGGUUCCGGGGGGAGUAUGGUCGCAAGGCUGAAACUUAAAGGAAUUGACGGAAGGGCACCACCAGGAGUGGAGCCUGCGGCUUAAUUUGACUCAACACGGGGAAACUCACCAGGUCCAGACAUAGUAAGGAUUGACAGAUUGAGAGCUCUUUCUUGAUUCUAUGGGUGGUGGUGCAUGGCCGUUCUUAGUUGGUGGAGUGAUUUGUCUGCUUAAUUGCGUUAACGAACGAGACCCUAACCUGCUAAAUAGUUAUGCCAACUUUUGUUGGUAGUCAACUUCUUAGAGGGACUGUCGGCAUCAAGCCGACGGAAGUUUGAGGUAAUAACAGGUCUGUUAUGCCCCUAGAUGUCCUGGGCCGCACGCGCGCUACACUGAUGAAGUCAACGAGUUUAUAACCUUGGCCGGAAGGUCUGGGUAAUCUUUUGAAACUUCAUCGUGCUGGGGAUAGAGCAUUGCAAUUAUUGCUCUUCAACGAGGAAUUCCUAGUAAGCGUGAGUCAUCAGCUCGCGCUGAUUACGUCCCUGCCCUUUGUACACACCGCCCGUCGCUACUACCGAUUGAAUGGCUUAGUGAGUCCCUCGGAUCGGCGUCUCGGAGCUGGCAACAGUACCUGGAUGCUGAGAAGUUGGGCAAACUUGGUCAUUUAGAGGAAGUAAAAGUC
Molecule: ribosomal RNA, 1255 nt
Filed under: metagenome
Description: SSU rRNA
Rfam family: Eukaryotic small subunit ribosomal RNA
Source: RNAcentral